This 328-nucleotide ribosomal RNA is filed under the name uncultured bacterium. Its description in RNAcentral is "bacterial SSU rRNA". It matches the Rfam family "Bacterial small subunit ribosomal RNA", at positions 770 to 1104 of the family's 1533-position model. The record is from RNAcentral.
ACCCAAUAGAUACCCUGGUAGUCCACGCCGUAAACUAUGGGUGCUAGCCGUCGGGGAGCAUGCUCUUCGGUGGCGCAGCAAACGCAUUAAGCACCCGCCUGGGAGUACGGUCGCAAGAUUAAACUACAAGGAAUUGACGGGGCCCGGCACAAGCGGUGGAGCAUGUGGUUUAAUUCGAGGCAACGCGAAGAACCUUACCAGCCCUUCGACAUCCCGACUCGGGGGUACCGAGAGAUGGACCUCUUCAAUUGGUCGGUGACGGUGCUGCAUGGCUGUCGUCAGCUCGUGUCGUGAGAUGUUGGGUUAAGUCCCGCAACGAGCGCAACCC